Molecule: ribosomal RNA, 399 nt
Filed under: uncultured bacterium
Lineage: Bacteria
Description: bacterial SSU rRNA
Rfam family: Bacterial small subunit ribosomal RNA
Source: RNAcentral
CAAGGCUUGACAUGCACUGGACGGCUGCAGAGAUGUGGCUUUCUUUGGACUGGUGCCCAGGUGGUGCAUGGUUGUCGUCAGCUCGUGUCGUGAGAUGUUGGGUUAAGUCCCGCAACGAGCGCAACCCUCGUUCUAUGUUGCCAGCACGUGAUGGUGGGGACACAUAGGAGACUGCCGGGGUCAACUCGGAGGAAGGUAGGGACGACGUCAAAUCAUCAUGCCCCUUAUGUCUUGGGCUUCAAGCAUGCUACAAUGGUCGGUACAAUGGGUUGCGAAACUGUGAGGUGGAGCGAAUCCCAAAAAGCCGGCCUCAGUUCGGAUUGGGGUCUGCAACUCGACCCCAUGAAGUCGGAGUCGCUAGUAAUCGCAGAUCAGCAACGCUGCGGUGAAUACGUUCCC